Bactrocera dorsalis (oriental fruit fly) is the source of this 1100-nucleotide RNA transcript. RefSeq lists it as uncharacterized. The transcript has 2 exons. Lineage: Eukaryota; Metazoa; Arthropoda; Insecta; Diptera; Tephritidae. The record is from RefSeq and is a predicted model, not a curated record.
GAAAUAUACACGGCAUAAUAUUCUACCCGUUGAGUUCGUAAGACCAACAACUUGUCAAAAUUAGAGACCCGACAAUUCUACAACUUUUGCGAAACAAGAUGCUAAGAAGAAGAUCGAUAUUUUUGUCCCUGACUAUAGCUGGGGUCACUAGGCACAAAACAGGCGUCAAAGGACAUUACCACUACACUUCUAAUAGAUUCAUUUUCUGAAUUCUUUGGUUCCAGUUCUACUCUUUGCCAGCAUAAUUCCAAACAUUAGUGGAAAUCCUCUUGAAGACAGUAUGCAAGAAAGAGGAGAUCAAGUUUAUCAUAAUCAGGAUGGAAACAAUUUAUUACAAUUUAUUUCUAAUUUUUCCUUACAGUUUUACUACUUGCCAGCAGUAUACUAAGAAUUAGUGGAAAGCCUUUUGAAGGAGAUGCGAGUGCAGAACAAUUGUUCUCAAAGACAAAUGAUGGAAAGUUUUCUGCAGAAGGAAAUAAUGACACAGUUAAGCAUGUGAUAAAUAACUAUAGAGGAAAUGGAGAUUCUACGCAAGCGGAGAAUAGUAUGCACCGGAAAAAUAUUGAAAUUAUGACAAAACAGUUUUUUGAUGAGCCAUUUUCAAGAUCAGUUGAAAGCUUUUCAGCAUCUUCCGUGGAAAGUGUUUCUAGUGUAUCUAGUGUAUCUAGUUGGACUUACAGCAGUUCUGGUGAUUUAAGUUAUAUAUACGAUAUUUGGAGUAUAAGUAAAAGUGACUCAAAAUAUUAAGCAAUGAUGGAGAAAAGCUGAAUGUAUUAUUCAAAGAUGUGUAGAUGUGUAUUUAUUAUUAUAUCUUUUAUUAUCUAAUAAUGCUUUGAUUCAAUCCUCAAUUUUGUUGAAUUGCGAUAAUACUUUAUUUAAAGAGAAGUUAUUCAGAAAGCGCUUAUUAUGUUACUAAGCAAAUUACAUACAUAUAUUUAAUAAGCUUAACUACUUCGUUUGAUGAUUGAACAUAAUUAAGCCUCCUCAACUGGUCAAACCUUAUGUUGAAAAAAAAGAAAAGACAUUAACUUCAGUUGCGCCGAAGCUACAAUACCUUUCACAUAUGAUUUUUUAUAAUAAAAAAGUGAAAAUUAAUCUUA